This 253-nucleotide ribosomal RNA is filed under the name uncultured bacterium. RNAcentral's name for it is "partial 16S ribosomal RNA". It matches the Rfam family "Bacterial small subunit ribosomal RNA", at positions 524 to 776 of the family's 1533-position model. The record is from RNAcentral.
UACAGAGGGGGCAAGCGUUAUUCGGAAUUAUUGGGCGUAAAGGGUGCGUAGGCGGCGCUGCAAGUGCCUUGUGAAAACCCAUCGCUUAACGAUGGAACUGCUCGGUAGACUGCAGUGCUUGAGGUUGGUAGGGGCUGCCGGAACUCUAGGUGGAGCGGUGAAAUGCGUAGAUAUCUAGAGGAACGCCCAAGGCGAAGGCAGGCAGCUGGGCCAAUUCUGACGCUGAGGCACGAAAGCGUGGGGAGCAAACGGG